Molecule: ribosomal RNA, 521 nt
Filed under: uncultured Glomeraceae
Lineage: Eukaryota; Fungi; Glomeromycota; Glomeromycetes; Glomerales; Glomeraceae
Description: SSU rRNA
Rfam family: Eukaryotic small subunit ribosomal RNA
Source: RNAcentral
AGCAGCCGCGGUAAUUCCAGCUCCAAUAGCGUAUAUUAAAGUUGUUGCAGUUAAAAAGCUCGUAGUUGAAUUUCGAGAUCAAAUUGUUGGUCGUGCCUUGGUACGCACUGGCAUUAUUGGUUUCUCCCUUCUGACGAAUCAUGAUGUCAUUAAUUUGGUGUCUUGGGGAAUCAGGACUGUUACUUUGAAAAAAUUAGAGUGUUUAAAGCAGGCUCACGCUUGAAUACAUUAGCAUGGAAUAAUGAAAUAGGACGUUUGAUUCUAUUUUGUUGGUUUCUAGGAUCGACGUAAUGAUUAAUAGGGAUAGUUGGGGGCAUUAGUAUUCAAUUGUCAGAGGUGAAAUUCUUGGAUUUAUUGAAGACUAACUACUGCGAAAGCAUUUGCCAAGGAUGUUUUCAUUAAUCAAGAACGAAAGUUAGGGGAUCGAAGACGAUCAGAUACCGUCGUAGUCUUAACCAUAAACUAUGCCGACUAGGGAUCGGAUGAUGUUAAUUUUUUAAUGACUCAUUCGGCGCCUUACG